UUGGAGGGCAAGUCUGGUGCCAGCAGCCGCGGUAAUUCCAGCUCCAAUAGCGUAUAUUAAAGUUGUUGCAGUUAAAAAGCUCGUAGUUGAAUUUCGAGAUCAAUUUGUUGGUCGUGCCUCGGUACGUACUGGCAAUUUUGAUUUCUCCCUUCUGAAGAACCAUUAUGUCAUUAAUUUGGUGUCAUGGGGAAUCAGGACUGUUACUUUGAAAAAAUUAGAGUGUUUAAAGCAGGC
This 234-nucleotide ribosomal RNA is filed under the name uncultured Glomeromycotina. Its description in RNAcentral is "partial 18S rRNA". It matches the Rfam family "Eukaryotic small subunit ribosomal RNA", at positions 548 to 785 of the family's 1831-position model. Lineage: Eukaryota; Fungi; Glomeromycota. The record is from RNAcentral.